This 173-nucleotide ribosomal RNA is filed under the name Deltaproteobacteria bacterium. RNAcentral's name for it is "partial 23S ribosomal RNA". It matches the Rfam family "Bacterial large subunit ribosomal RNA", at positions 2758 to 2925 of the family's 2925-position model. Lineage: Bacteria; Pseudomonadati; Myxococcota; Myxococcia. The record is from RNAcentral.
GAUUAAUUAGCGCCCUGUUAUAUUAAGGGGGAAUGUUAAUUAUAUACGUAAGGUAGUAAGAGAUAGGUGCGGGACUAAAGACCCCUUGGAGACUACGAGGUUGAUAGGCCAGGUGUGUAAGUGUGGUAACACAUUUAGCUAACUGGUACUAAUAGGUCGUGAGGCUUGGCCAU